Molecule: ribosomal RNA, 376 nt
Filed under: uncultured bacterium
Lineage: Bacteria
Description: bacterial SSU rRNA
Rfam family: Bacterial small subunit ribosomal RNA
Source: RNAcentral
UAAUACGAGGGGGGCAAGUGUUGUUCGGAAUCACUGGGCGUAAAGGGAGCGUAGGCGGAUGUUUAAGUCGGGUGUUUAAAACCGGGGCCCAACCCCGGAGCGGCACCCGAAACUGGGCAUCUUGAAUAGGUCAGAGGCUGGUGGAAUUGGAGGUGUAGCGGUGGAAUGCGUAGAGAUCUCCAAGAACACCUAUUGCGAAGGCAGCCAGCUGGGACCAUAUUGACGCUGAGGCUCGAAAGCAUGGGGAGCAAACAGGAUUAGAUACCCUGGUAGUCCAUGCCGUAAACGAUGAACACUAGGUUUUGGGCUCGUCAACGGUCCAGAGCCGCAGCUAACGCGUUAAGUGUUCCGCCUGGGGAAUACGGUCGCAAGACUG